Molecule: ribosomal RNA, 253 nt
Filed under: uncultured bacterium
Lineage: Bacteria
Description: partial 16S ribosomal RNA
Rfam family: Bacterial small subunit ribosomal RNA
Source: RNAcentral
UACGUAGGGUGCGAGCGUUAAUCGGAAUUACUGGGCGUAAAGCGUACGCAGGCGGCUUUGUAAGACAGGUGUGAAAUCCCCGGGCCUAACCUGGGAACUGCAUUUGUGACUGCAUGGCUAGAGUUUGUCAGAGGGGGGUGGAAUUCCACGUGUAGCAGUGAAAUGCGUAGAUAUGUGGAGGAACACCGAUGGCGAAGGCAGCCCCCUGGGAUGUGACUGACGCUCAUGUACGAAAGCGUGGGGAGCAAACAGG